AUUCUUUGCCAGACUGCUUGUGUUGGUUUCUGUCUAGAAAUAGGGCCACAUGCUUACACUUCUCAGGCUCAGGUUCAGGCCAAGGAAAAUGUACAUGAGGAGUCAAGAUACACAGCUCACAGAGGGCCUAUCUUUACUCAAAAAUGGAGGGGAGUCAAGGAUGAUCCUAAAGCACAGAUAAAUCAGGAGUAGAAUGCAAAACAUACAAAUAAGAAAUAAUGAAACUUAACGUGGUAGUGAGCAGUUUUGAGCUAUGUCUGUGUGCAGUCCCCAGCCUUGACUAUACUCACACCAGUCUGCACUGGAAGCUCAGUCAGUUUUGGCAGUGCCUCAAGUCUUGCUCCUCCUUGAUUUCUCCCACCUAGAGUCUCUGAUGCACAAUAAAUUGAUUCGAAGAAAAGGUAUAAUCUUUUUGGGUUUCAUCAUUUUCCUGACCAAAGUUAAUAGUAAAGUAAAUGGGUCAGUGUUCAAACAGCCAAGGCCAUCUUGAAUCCUUCACAUUACACUCAGCACGCAGAGGGAUUGAGCCCGCCUUGCCUCACUUCACCCCUAACAACCCUGAGUGGGAUUUGCCCCUUCAUUUUGGGAAUAGGGGCAGAGCCGCCGUCUUGCCACCUCGUACGUAAGGUGCUUAUCUGGAAGACUUGGGCUGAGGAUGCACUUUUUGUGGGACAGAGUUCCAGCGUGUGUACCGCCCUCACCUGGCCGGACCAUCUCUUCCCCACCUGUGGGCUUAGAUCCUGUGGCCACUACCAGUCCAGGGAUCUUGUGUUAAGCUGAGUCUCUGAUCUGACGCUAUGGGAAAAGAAGCUGGGACAACUUCGAUGGUGUGAGCACCGAACACCUUAAAAUGGAGUUACUGAAAGAAACCCAUAGGAAGUGAGUUGGAGAGCCUUGCAGGGCGCCACCCUUGGUAUGAGUGGUAGUGUAACUGAGU
Long non-coding RNA from Condylura cristata (star-nosed mole), 937 nucleotides. RefSeq lists it as uncharacterized. The transcript has 3 exons. The record is from RefSeq and is a predicted model, not a curated record. Lineage: Eukaryota; Metazoa; Chordata; Mammalia; Eulipotyphla; Talpidae.